This 489-nucleotide ribosomal RNA is filed under the name Phaeographis spondaica. RNAcentral's name for it is "eukaryotic LSU rRNA". It matches the Rfam family "Eukaryotic large subunit ribosomal RNA", at positions 143 to 647 of the family's 3401-position model. The record is from RNAcentral. Lineage: Eukaryota; Fungi; Ascomycota; Lecanoromycetes; Ostropales; Graphidaceae.
UUGUAAUUUGGAGAAGGUGCUUCGGGGGCGACGGCGGCUCAAGUCCCUUGGAACGGGGCGUCACAGAGGGUGAGAAUCCCGUACGCGGCCGUCCGUCCAACCCGUGUGAAGCCCUUUCGACGAGUCGGGUUGUUUGGGAAUGCAGCCCUAAGUGGGUGGUAAAUUUCAUCUAAAGCUAAAUACCUGCCAAAGACCGAUAGCGCACAAGUAGAGUGAUCGAAAGAUGAAAAGAACUUUGAAAAGAGAGUUAAACAGUACGUGAAAUUGUUGAAAGGGAAGCGCUUGCAGCCAGACUCGUGCGCGGGGGCUUAGCCGUUCUUCGGGACGGUGCACUCCCCCGCGGUCGGGCCAGCAUCGGUUUCGGCGGUCGGACAAAGGCCCCGGGAAUGUAGCUCUCCUCGGGGAGCGUUAUAGCCCGGGGUACAAUGCGACCCGCCGGGACCGAGGACCGCGCUUCGGCUAGGAUGCUGGCGUAAUGGUUGCCAGCGA